Molecule: ribosomal RNA, 497 nt
Filed under: uncultured bacterium
Lineage: Bacteria
Description: partial 16S ribosomal RNA
Rfam family: Bacterial small subunit ribosomal RNA
Source: RNAcentral
GAUGAACGCUGGCGGCGUGCCUAAUACAUGCAAGUCGAGCGAACAGACGCUUAUCUUGCUCCUCUGACGUUAGCGGCGGACGUGUGAGUAACACGUGGAUAACCUACCUAUAAGUCUGGUAUCACUUCGGGAAACCGGAGCUAAUACCGGAUAAUAUAUUGAACCGCAUUGUUCAAUAGUGAAAGACGGUUUUUCUGUCACUUCUAGAUGGAUCCGCGCCGCAUUAGCUAGUUGGUAAGGUAACCGCUUACCAAGGCAACGAUGCGUAGCCGACCUGAGAGGGUGAUAGGCGACAAGGGAAGGGAGACAGGGAAAAGAGUACUAAGGGAGGAAGCAGAAGGGAAGGUUAGGCAAAGGGGGAAAGGAGGACGGAGCAAGGCGGCGUGAGAGAUAAAGGUGUAGGGAUCGGAAAAAUCUGUUAUGAGGGAAAAACAAAAGGGGAAGGAAAAAAGGAGGGAUUGACGGUACAUAAUAAGAAAGCAACGGCUAACUACGUG